This is a long non-coding RNA of Rana temporaria (common frog), 271 nucleotides long. RefSeq lists it as uncharacterized. Lineage: Eukaryota; Metazoa; Chordata; Amphibia; Anura; Ranidae. The record is from RefSeq and is a predicted model, not a curated record. The transcript is spliced from 3 exons.
UGCCUGUGCUUGGUGGUGGAUGGUAACAGGACAUCUCUGGAUAUCAACUGCUGGACUCUCCACCCUUUAUAUCCCGUAGGAUUUUCUACUUACUAUUAAGUCACUUUUGACUUGUAGUCCUUAUCUAACACUGUUUGGAUUCAGGACAGUCCAAGGCUUGUUGCUUUUGUCAUCAGGCUUUCAGAUUCCGCUGGGAGUGGAUAUGGUUGUCAGCUUGAUUGCUUUCACUUGAGUUGGACCCUUUUUGGAUUUCUGCCUUUGACCCGGCCCG